AUGAUCCCCUUUGCACUGUAAAAGACGACAGAAAAGUCUGUGGGGGUGCGUGCAUUCGUGCUUCAUAGUUCAAGGCAAGCCUGUGUUGAAUCUGGCAAAUUCCGGCUUAACGAAACGCUUUACAUUGGUGGCUGUAUACAUUAGUUUCAAAAUGAGCCUGGAUACUUUCUUUAAGCAGAUUUUACUGACUGAGCAGCAGGUGUCAGAGAACUGUCGAAAGCUUCAAGAAGCGAAGUUUGCCAUUGCAAAUGGUCAAGAACAGGUUAAAGUCCAUAGAGAACAGCUGGGCGGCCUAACUGAAGAAUUAAACAAAAAGGGUUACCUUCUUACUGAGCUGACUUUGCAGCGUAACCUUCUAAAACAGCUCAGUGAGGAGCUGGAAAGCAGAAGAAAUGAGAUUCAACUGCAGCAGCAGAGGCUCAGGGAUGAUCAGGAGACACUGAAGAACUGGGAGGUGGAAGAACAAAAGGCAUUCCUGGCGGAAGUCAGAGUGUUCAACAGUGAGAAUUGUGUGCUCAGUCGGAGGCACACGGCCCGGCAUCAUAAAAACUCUGCUGAAAUGAUCAGAGUGACCCAGGAGGCCCAUGACUUGUGUAAAGUCUCAAGUAAGCCAAAUAAGAGGAAGAAGCAGUGAAACUGGGCCACAUACAAUAUUAUGUCCCUUCUUCGCCAUUGUCAAAUGCUGCUCAAGCAAGUUGUCGGUGACAUUGGGCCCUUCAGUUGAUAUUCGACACCCAAUGUGGCCCUUGGACCAAAACAAUUGUCCACCCCUGCUGAAGCCUCAUGUCACGUCUUAUUCUGUUAUAAGGGACUGCUUGAGUGUAUUUGAGCAGCUCUGAACAGUAUCUUAAUAGAGUGACAGUCAAGGUCAGUCCAGAUUAAUUAUAGAAGUGUAUGCCUGCGUGAGGGGCCAGUGGAAGCCAAAAUAAAUGCCCAGGACGUUUAUUGGUCCCAGUCCAGCUGUGGGCAAAUUUCAGGCAGCGUCUGGUCUGUGCUGUUUCAGCGUGUAGUGGGAAGUGUAGCCAGUGCCACUGCAGAUCACGGUCAUGAUAAUAGACAGACGCCUGAUAACUACAGACACAACAAGAGCAAUUCAGUGGAAGACUCUCUUGAAUUCCAACAUCACAUCACAUCACAUAAUGAAAUUGGGUUAAUAUUAGAUCAUGUAUUUAGUGGGGGUAACAUAGCCUGAUAAACCAGCCUAAAUGGAUUGGAUGUCUGCGCCCAGCAGUUGGCGCUGGUUUUCCAGGCUAGGGGUAACACACAAUUUCAAAAUUGAGUGGUGAUCAUUGCCAACUGAUGUUAUGUUGGAAUGGAAAGACAUAUUCUGUAUGAAUUUUGGCAUUCUAUAAUCCUAUAAUUUGAU
Molecule: RNA transcript, 1366 nt
Organism: Engraulis encrasicolus (European anchovy)
Lineage: Eukaryota; Metazoa; Chordata; Actinopteri; Clupeiformes; Engraulidae
Gene name: coiled-coil domain-containing protein 172-like
Exons: 6
Source: RefSeq, a predicted model, not a curated record